UACAGAGGUCCCAAGCGUUGUUCGGAUUCACUGGGCGUAAAGGGUGCGUAGGUGGUGGGGUAAGUCGGAUGUGAAAGCUCGGAGCUCAACUCCGAAAUGGCAUUGGAAACUACCCUGCUAGAGGAUUGGAGGGGGGACUGGAAUUCCGGGUGUAGCGGUGGAAUGCGUAGAGAUCCGGAAGAACACCAGUGGCGAAGGCGGCUCACUGGCCCGAUACUGACGCUGAGGCACGAAAGCGUGGGGAGCAAACAGG
RNAcentral lists this ribosomal RNA (253 nucleotides) under uncultured bacterium. RNAcentral's name for it is "partial 16S ribosomal RNA". It matches the Rfam family "Bacterial small subunit ribosomal RNA", at positions 524 to 776 of the family's 1533-position model. The record is from RNAcentral.